This is a long non-coding RNA of Peromyscus leucopus (white-footed mouse), 1248 nucleotides long. RefSeq lists it as uncharacterized. NCBI's taxonomy places the organism in Eukaryota, Metazoa, Chordata, Mammalia, Rodentia, Cricetidae. The transcript is spliced from 2 exons. The record is from RefSeq and is a predicted model, not a curated record.
UCCUGUUUGUGUUGACGUUUUGUUGCUUCUUGUCGGUCACUUUCAGUCAGCCCCAACUUCAAGCUGGCUCUCUUCCAAGUUUUCUGGUGAGCUUGCCAAUCUGUCCCUGCGGGCCCAAGCCCCAGUUUUCAAAGCCAGGGCCUACUGUUGUCUCUGUGAUUUGAGAAGAAACCCAGAAAGACUGAAGGUUCUACAGAAACAUGAAGGUGUUCUCAGGCUGCCCGCCGAGGCUGCGUGAAGAAAAGGCCAGGUUCGUGACAACCACCCAGGUCCUUUCACCACACGCUGAGCACCCGGUGUGUGUCGCUGCAUCUCAUCUACACAAGCACUUAGCAGAUAGGCCUCAUUAGUCUGAUUUUCAACCAUGGAAACUCAGACUCCAAGCAUCUAUCAUCUUGUCCUGCCAAGGUCACACACCCGGCAUAUUUGUCUGCCUCAGCUCCCCUCUCUUCGGAUGCCAUGGGCUGCCCAGUGACACCCUUGCUUCAUCUCUGUCUCCGCUCACAUGCUGUCCCACUAGAGGUGGUUUCUGUUGAUCGACUUGUCUGUUUGAAACAAUACUCAGUGGCUUUUGGUCCCCUCAUCUGUCCUUUUCUUUAGAACUACUUAAUAUUGUAUGUAUACAGUUGUCCCUGAGUAUCUGCAGGUUGGUUCCAGGAUUCCCAGGGGAAGCCAAAAUUCAAGGGCUAUCAGAUCCCUUAUAUAAAAUGACUUAGUAUUGUCCUAUAACCAGUGCUCAUCCUCAUGUAUCCUCAAGCCUUUUCUGGACAACUUAUAACACCACUCAAGGCAAGCACUAUAUAACUAGUUGUAGCAGAGUAUCAUUUAGAGAAGGACAACAACAUCUGUAUGAGAUGCACACCAUUUUCUCUGGCUUAUUUUCUGAGAGUGAUUGACUAGGCAGAUGGACACAGACAGCUGACCAAGGAUGUGCAUGUCCUGGAGUGUGUGUAUGAAGACAGGUACUGUUUUGCAUAAUUCUGGAUUCUCCUGGUAUGUGGCAGGUACUCAAAAUCUGUUUAAUGAAUUAAUGAAUGGAUAGGUGAAUGGAUGGAUGGAUGGACAUAAAGAAACCAUUUUCUGUUUUAUACCUAAAACAGUCUUAUUGUUUGGUCAGGUUGUCACAAAUGACAAGCAACACUCUUGCUUCAGAGACAGAUUAUUCAGGACUGUUGUCGUGAUCGACUAGUAGACACCGGGCUAACUUACCCAAUGUGUAUGACUAAUAAAUUGAGCCCUUGCCAAUCA